AGAUUGAACGCUGGCGGCGUGCUUAACACAUGCAAGUCGAGCGGAAAGGCCCUUCGGGGUACUCGAGCGGCGAACGGGUGAGUAACACGUGAGUAACCUGCCCCUAGCUCUGGGAUAGCUCCGGGAAACCGGGAUUAAUACCAGAUACGACCACUUUAGACAUCUGUCGUGGUGGAAAGGAUUCCGGCUAGGGAUGGGCUCGCGGCCUAUCAGCUUGUUGGUGGGGUAACGGCCUACCAAGGCGACGACGGGUAGCCGGCCUGAGAGGGCGACCGGCCACACUGGGACUGAGACACGGCCCAGACUCCUACGGGAGGCAGCAGUGGGGAAUAUUGCGCAAUGGGCGAAAGCCUGACGCAGCGACGCCGCGUGGGGGAUGAAGGCCUUCGGGUUGUAAACCCCUUUCGAGCAGGGACGAAGCGAAAGUGACGGUACCUGCAGAAGAAGCGCCGGCUAACUACGUGCCAGCAGCCGC
This 475-nucleotide ribosomal RNA is filed under the name uncultured bacterium. RNAcentral describes it as "SSU rRNA". It matches the Rfam family "Bacterial small subunit ribosomal RNA", at positions 26 to 518 of the family's 1533-position model. The record is from RNAcentral.